Molecule: long non-coding RNA, 1396 nt
Organism: Oxyura jamaicensis (ruddy duck)
Lineage: Eukaryota; Metazoa; Chordata; Aves; Anseriformes; Anatidae
Exons: 2
Source: RefSeq, a predicted model, not a curated record
GGGUAUCCGGGGAUGGGUAUCCAGAGACAGAGUUCCCAAAGAUGGAUACCUGGAGACUGGUGCCCAGAAAUGGGUAUCUGGAGAUGGGGUUGCUGGAGAUGGGUACCUGGAGAUGGGGGCCAGGACUUAAGAAAAAGACUCGAGGAAACUUGCCCCAGCAGUUUGCUCCGAGAGGCUCGAGGUGGGAACGUGCUGGGACGGGCUGUGGGAGCACUGGGAGCUGCUGGGGGACAUCCAGAGGGCCGGAGAGCCCCGGCGUGAGGCUUGGGGGUGCCAGCACGGAGCAGGUUGAGAAGCACCAGGCCAAGGGAGGGAAAUGGAGGAGAAACUGGCUGUAAACAAAGGGAACGUGACCAGACUAGCCUGGCUCCGGCGCUCUGCUGAAGGGAGAACAGAAAAUAAACUGCAGAAAGAAGGAAAGUCAAGUACGUCUUCAGCUGCCUGAGAAGAGGCUCUGGGACCUGUGCUGGGAUCGGGGUGUUUGGGUCAUGAAAACGGGCACCCGUCAGCAGAGCUGUUGGCCAAACAAAUGUCCUGGAGCCUGUGGUGCUGCUUUUAUGGGAGCUGAUCCCCUGGGGGGUGGCUGGAGGGCCCUUGGGGGUGCAUCUGUCCCCACGCGUGCUAUCGGCAUGGCACAGGCUCCUGCCCGCAGCCCAGUCCCCACGAGCCCACCGAAGUGCCUUCCUGUGCCCCUCCGCCUCCCCUCCCUCUCUUCAUCUUUGGAUGACGCUGGUUCAUAUUCUGCACAUCUGCCGGUUCAUAUUCUCCUGCAGAACUGCAAUUUCAGAAUUGCUCUGCUCCAUUCUUCUGACACUUGAAGCUUUGAGGCUUAAGCUUUUGGGGGGCUCACUUUUUUUUUUUGUAUAAUACCAAGUUUUCUGUAUUUUCCAGUUUGUCUGAAAGCCGUGGGCACGAACCUCAGCUGAACACGAGGGUUCAAACCAUCCUCAAACCGGUGUCAUAACAAUCCCAAUAAUAAACAAUGGCUUGUGAAUAACAAUAGGACUUUUUUUCCCCGUUUUUGUUUAAAAACAGGAUUAUCCAGCUGAAGUUAACAAAAUCUGGAGUUCAACAUGCCGGAAUGAAUCACCGGGAGCAAACACAGCUCCCUCAACGUGAGCCCGUUGAAAGCCUCCAUUGAUUCACUUUAAACUCAUAGACCGACUUUGACAAACUCUCCAUCAAAACUGCCUAAUGCUUGUUUCGUUCGUAAUCCUCUCUGAGCUGCUGCCCGCUGCUAAUCUCUGCCAGAAACCACUAUUAAAUCUGUCCUGGUCUGCAACACUAAUUCUGAGCAACUGCACCGGGAGAAAAACCAUCGGCUGGGCCCGCGUCUUUGUGCUGUUUGCGUGCUCCGCAGGAAGAUCGUUUAGUUUCUAAUGAGACUAAUUAAAAA